This 406-nucleotide ribosomal RNA is filed under the name Micromonospora sp. S1.4. RNAcentral's name for it is "bacterial SSU rRNA". It matches the Rfam family "Bacterial small subunit ribosomal RNA", at positions 92 to 513 of the family's 1533-position model. Lineage: Bacteria; Bacillati; Actinomycetota; Actinomycetes; Micromonosporales; Micromonosporaceae. The record is from RNAcentral.
CGAGCGGCGAACGGGUGAGUAACACGUGAGCAACCUGCCCUAGGCUUUGGGAUAACCCUCGGAAACGGGGGCUAAUACCGAAUAUGACCUCUGGACGCAUGUCUGGUGGUGGAAAGUUUUUCGGCCUGGGAUGGGCUCGCGGCCUAUCAGCUUGUUGGUGGGGUGAUGGCCUACCAAGGCGACGACGGGUAGCCGGCCUGAGAGGGCGACCGGCCACACUGGGACUGAGACACGGCCCAGACUCCUACGGGAGGCAGCAGUGGGGAAUAUUGCACAAUGGGCGGAAGCCUGAUGCAGCGACGCCGCGUGAGGGAUGACGGCCUUCGGGUUGUAAACCUCUUUCAGCAGGGACGAAGCGAGAGUGACGGUACCUGCAGAAGAAGCACCGGCCAACUACGUGCCAGCA